RNAcentral lists this non-coding RNA (48 nucleotides) under Trichobilharzia regenti. The record is from RNAcentral. Lineage: Eukaryota; Metazoa; Platyhelminthes; Trematoda; Strigeidida; Schistosomatidae.
GUCCAGCCGACGAGUCCCAAACAGGACGAAAUGAGUGAUGUCCUGGAU